Molecule: ribosomal RNA, 494 nt
Filed under: uncultured organism
Description: SSU rRNA
Rfam family: Bacterial small subunit ribosomal RNA
Source: RNAcentral
GAACGCUGGCGGCGUGCCUAACACAUGCAAGUCGAACGAAGCGUCCCGCCCGAUGAAGUGGAGUGCUUGCACAAAGCGGAAUCAAUUGGGACGACUUAGUGGCGGACGGGUGAGUAACGCGUGGGUAACCUGCCUUAUACAGGGGGAUAACAGUUAGAAAUGACUGCUAAUACCGCAUAAGCGCACAGUACCGCAUGAUACAGUGUGAAAAGAUUUAUCGGUAUAAGAUGGACCCGCGUCUGAUUAGCCAGUUGGUGAGGUAACGGCUCACCAAAGCGACGAUCAGUAGCCGGCCUGAGAGGGUGAACGGCCACAUUGGGACUGAGACACGGCCCAAACUCCUACGGGAGGCAGCAGUGGGGGAUAUUGCACAAUGGGGGAAACCCUGAUGCAGCGACGCCGCGUGAGUGAAGAAGUAUUUCGGUAUGUAAAGCUCUAUCAGCAGGGAAGAAAAUGACGGUACCUGACUAAGAAGCCCCGGCUAACUACGUGCC